This 529-nucleotide ribosomal RNA is filed under the name uncultured bacterium. Its description in RNAcentral is "bacterial SSU rRNA". It matches the Rfam family "Bacterial small subunit ribosomal RNA", at positions 980 to 1509 of the family's 1533-position model. The record is from RNAcentral.
CUUGACAUCCAGCGAACUUGGCAGAGAUGCCUUGGUGCCUUCGGGAACGCUGAGACAGGUGCUGCAUGGCUGUCGUCAGCUCGUGUUGUGAAAUGUUGGGUUAACGUCCGCAACGAGCGCAACCCUUAUCCUUUGUUGCCAGCGAUUCGGUCGGGAACUCAAAGGAGACUGCCGGUGAUAAACCGGAGGAAGGUGGGGAUGACGUCAAGUCAUCAUGGCCCUUACGAGUAGGGCUACACACGUGCUACAAUGGCGCAUACAAAAAGAAGCGACCUCGCGAGAGCAAGCGGACCUCAUAAAGUGCGUCGUAGUCCGGAUCGGAGUCUGCAACUCGACUCCGUGAAGUCGGAAUCGCUAGUAAUCGUGGAUCAGAAUGCCACGGUGAAUACGUUCCCGGGCCUUGUACACACCGCCCGUCACACCAUGGGAGUGGGUUGCAAAAGAAGUAGGUAGCUUAACCUUCGGGAGGGCGCUUACCACUUUGUGAUUCAUGACUGGGGUGAAGUCGUAACAAGGUAAGCGUAGCGAG